GCCUGGGUGGCUCAGUCGUUUGAGCGUCCGACUUCAGCUCAGGUCACCAUCUCGCGGUCCGCGAGUUCGAGCCCCGCGUCGGGCU
Felis catus (domestic cat) is the source of this 85-nucleotide non-coding RNA. NCBI's taxonomy places the organism in Eukaryota, Metazoa, Chordata, Mammalia, Carnivora, Felidae. The record is from Rfam.